GAUCCGUGAAUCAAGGGUGGAAAUGGA
RNAcentral lists this non-coding RNA (27 nucleotides) under Homo sapiens (human). Lineage: Eukaryota; Metazoa; Chordata; Mammalia; Primates; Hominidae. The record is from RNAcentral.